RNAcentral lists this ribosomal RNA (820 nucleotides) under uncultured Verrucomicrobiota bacterium. Its description in RNAcentral is "bacterial SSU rRNA". It matches the Rfam family "Bacterial small subunit ribosomal RNA", at positions 70 to 868 of the family's 1533-position model. Lineage: Bacteria; Pseudomonadati; Verrucomicrobiota. The record is from RNAcentral.
AUUUUUUCCUGUAGCAAUACAGGGAAAAGUCUAGCGGCGAACGGGUGCUUAACACGUGGGCAACCUGCCGAGAAGUGGGGGAUAGCUCGCCGAAAGGCGAAUUAAUACCGCAUGUGAUUAGAGAGGACAUCCUUUCGAAAUCAAAGUCGGGGCAACCUGACGCUUUUUGUGGGGCCCGCGGCCUAUCAGCUAGUUGGUGAGGUAACGGCUCACCAAGGCUUUGACGGGUAGCUGGUCUGAGAGGACGACCAGCCACACUGGGACUGAGACACGGCCCAGACACCUACGGGUGGCAGCAGUCGAGAAUUUUUCUCAAUGGGGGAAACCCUGAAGGAGCGACGCCGCGUGGAGGAUGAAGGUCUUCGGAUUGUAAACUUCUGUCAUUGGGGAACAAGGUGCAUACGUUAACUGCGUGUGCAUUGAUAGUACCCGAAGAGGAAGAGACGGCUAACUCUGUGCCAGCAGCCGCGGUAAUACAGAGGUCUCAAGCGUUGUUCGGAUUCAUUGGGCGUAAAGGGUGCGUAGGCGGCGCGGUAAGUCGGGUGUGAAAUCUUGGAGCUUAACUCCGAAACUGCAUUCGAUACUGCCGUGCUUGAGGACUGGAGAGGAGACUGGAAUUUACGGUGUAGCGGUGAAAUGCGUAGAUAUCGUAAGGAAGACCAGUGGCGAAGGCGGGUCUCUGGACAGUUCCUGACGCUGAGGCACGAAGGCCAGGGGAGCAAACGGGAUUAGAUACCCCGGUAGUCCUGGCAGUAAACGGUGCACGUUUGGUGUGGGAGGAUUCGACCCCUUCUGCGCCGGAGCUAACGCGUUAAACGUG